RNAcentral lists this small nuclear RNA (108 nucleotides) under Dromaius novaehollandiae (emu). Its description in RNAcentral is "U1 spliceosomal RNA (ENSDNVG00000002749.1)". The record is from RNAcentral. Lineage: Eukaryota; Metazoa; Chordata; Aves; Casuariiformes; Dromaiidae.
AUGCUAACCUGGCAGAGAAGCCUUGCUGACCUUGGCAGUUUCCACACAUGCAAGAAGCUCGACUCUGUAAUUUGUGGUGGUGGAGGACUGCGUUUGUGCUCUCCCCUA